UUUGAUCUGAGCUCAUUAAUUGAGCUGGCAGAUCAUGACGUCAUGAAGCGCGCGCCUACCAUGCUCCCUAGUCAACUGAAGCGCACAUUGCCAAAUAAAAAGUCAUAACGUGUGAUGCAUGUGAUUGAAUCUAGAAAAAGGAAUGGACGUUCCAGAUCAAAUCUGGGAACCAGACGGUGGCCAACGGCACCGUCUUCUCCGGCCAAGCUUCGGCCAAGUCAAAAAUUG
Molecule: long non-coding RNA, 228 nt
Filed under: Lathyrus oleraceus (garden pea)
Lineage: Eukaryota; Viridiplantae; Streptophyta; Magnoliopsida; Fabales; Fabaceae
Description: Pisum sativum (pea) long non-coding RNA (PSAT_LNC034440)
Source: RNAcentral